GCUGUUGUAGAGAAUUGCGUCACAGGACGACACACGCCAGGCUUUUGGUGGGAAUAUGAGUUCGCUUCCACGUAUAUAUAUCUCAAAUUAAAUCCAUCCAUAUAUGUUUUGUAAUGUUGGAUGCAAUACCAACAUGACUGGCUAUGUGUCAAGUACAUAACCGAUUCAGAAUUUGUGCGUAACAUCAUUUUAUGUUUGAUAAAACCACCAGGCUAAUCAGGGAAAGUUCACUCCGCCUAUUGUUUGCUAGCAUGCUAUCACGUUAGCCAACAAUAUAUCUGACUUAAAACAAAGUCAAUUUACUUUAAUUUCCGAGGCUACAUUUACAGCAGCUUAAAUGACAUCUUGUGCUUUAUGUUUUCUUAAUUGGCUAACAUAGCGUUUAGUGGUUACGCAGCGCUCAGUUGGUUUAUUUAACAUCACAUUAGCUAAUUCAACCUGUCAAGAAUCAACAACAUGCCAGAAAUCCAACUCAAACACGUCGUGUCUUGCAGCACCGAGGACACUGCACACAAGGCAGACAACCUGCUGAGCUCUGACACCUACAGAAAGUGGAAAGCAGCAAGAUCUGGGGAGAAGCAGACAUCAGUCAUUCUGCAGUUAGAGAAGCAAG
Molecule: long non-coding RNA, 613 nt
Organism: Notothenia coriiceps (black rockcod)
Lineage: Eukaryota; Metazoa; Chordata; Actinopteri; Perciformes; Nototheniidae
Exons: 3
Source: RefSeq, a predicted model, not a curated record